RNAcentral lists this ribosomal RNA (2901 nucleotides) under Escherichia coli. RNAcentral describes it as "23S ribosomal RNA". It matches the Rfam family "Bacterial large subunit ribosomal RNA". The record is from RNAcentral. Lineage: Bacteria; Pseudomonadati; Pseudomonadota; Gammaproteobacteria; Enterobacterales; Enterobacteriaceae.
UUAAGCGACUAAGCGUACACGGUGGAUGCCCUGGCAGUCAGAGGCGAUGAAGGACGUGCUAAUCUGCGAUAAGCGUCGGUAAGGUGAUAUGAACCGUUAUAACCGGCGAUUUCCGAAUGGGGAAACCCAGUGUGUUUCGACACACUAUCAUUAACUGAAUCCAUAGGUUAAUGAGGCGAACCGGGGGAACUGAAACAUCUAAGUACCCCGAGGAAAAGAAAUCAACCGAGAUUCCCCCAGUAGCGGCGAGCGAACGGGGAGCAGCCCAGAGCCUGAAUCAGUGUGUGUGUUAGUGGAAGCGUCUGGAAAGGCGCGCGAUACAGGGUGACAGCCCCGUACACAAAAAUGCACAUGCUGUGAGCUCGAUGAGUAGGGCGGGACACGUGGUAUCCUGUCUGAAUAUGGGGGGACCAUCCUCCAAGGCUAAAUACUCCUGACUGACCGAUAGUGAACCAGUACCGUGAGGGAAAGGCGAAAAGAACCCCGGCGAGGGGAGUGAAAAAGAACCUGAAACCGUGUACGUACAAGCAGUGGGAGCACGCUUAGGCGUGUGACUGCGUACCUUUUGUAUAAUGGGUCAGCGACUUAUAUUCUGUAGCAAGGUUAACCGAAUAGGGGAGCCGAAGGGAAACCGAGUCUUAACUGGGCGUUAAGUUGCAGGGUAUAGACCCGAAACCCGGUGAUCUAGCCAUGGGCAGGUUGAAGGUUGGGUAACACUAACUGGAGGACCGAACCGACUAAUGUUGAAAAAUUAGCGGAUGACUUGUGGCUGGGGGUGAAAGGCCAAUCAAACCGGGAGAUAGCUGGUUCUCCCCGAAAGCUAUUUAGGUAGCGCCUCGUGAAUUCAUCUCCGGGGGUAGAGCACUGUUUCGGCAAGGGGGUCAUCCCGACUUACCAACCCGAUGCAAACUGCGAAUACCGGAGAAUGUUAUCACGGGAGACACACGGCGGGUGCUAACGUCCGUCGUGAAGAGGGAAACAACCCAGACCGCCAGCUAAGGUCCCAAAGUCAUGGUUAAGUGGGAAACGAUGUGGGAAGGCCCAGACAGCCAGGAUGUUGGCUUAGAAGCAGCCAUCAUUUAAAGAAAGCGUAAUAGCUCACUGGUCGAGUCGGCCUGCGCGGAAGAUGUAACGGGGCUAAACCAUGCACCGAAGCUGCGGCAGCGACGCUUAUGCGUUGUUGGGUAGGGGAGCGUUCUGUAAGCCUGUGAAGGUGUGCUGUGAGGCAUGCUGGAGGUAUCAGAAGUGCGAAUGCUGACAUAAGUAACGAUAAAGCGGGUGAAAAGCCCGCUCGCCGGAAGACCAAGGGUUCCUGUCCAACGUUAAUCGGGGCAGGGUGAGUCGACCCCUAAGGCGAGGCCGAAAGGCGUAGUCGAUGGGAAACAGGUUAAUAUUCCUGUACUUGGUGUUACUGCGAAGGGGGGACGGAGAAGGCUAUGUUGGCCGGGCGACGGUUGUCCCGGUUUAAGCGUGUAGGCUGGUUUUCCAGGCAAAUCCGGAAAAUCAAGGCUGAGGCGUGAUGACGAGGCACUACGGUGCUGAAGCAACAAAUGCCCUGCUUCCAGGAAAAGCCUCUAAGCAUCAGGUAACAUCAAAUCGUACCCCAAACCGACACAGGUGGUCAGGUAGAGAAUACCAAGGCGCUUGAGAGAACUCGGGUGAAGGAACUAGGCAAAAUGGUGCCGUAACUUCGGGAGAAGGCACGCUGAUAUGUAGGUGAGGUCCCUCGCGGAUGGAGCUGAAAUCAGUCGAAGAUACCAGCUGGCUGCAACUGUUUAUUAAAAACACAGCACUGUGCAAACACGAAAGUGGACGUAUACGGUGUGACGCCUGCCCGGUGCCGGAAGGUUAAUUGAUGGGGUUAGCGCAAGCGAAGCUCUUGAUCGAAGCCCCGGUAAACGGCGGCCGUAACUAUAACGGUCCUAAGGUAGCGAAAUUCCUUGUCGGGUAAGUUCCGACCUGCACGAAUGGCGUAAUGAUGGCCAGGCUGUCUCCACCCGAGACUCAGUGAAAUUGAACUCGCUGUGAAGAUGCAGUGUACCCGCGGCAAGACGGAAAGACCCCGUGAACCUUUACUAUAGCUUGACACUGAACAUUGAGCCUUGAUGUGUAGGAUAGGUGGGAGGCUUAGAAGUGUGGACGCCAGUCUGCAUGGAGCCGACCUUGAAAUACCACCCUUUAAUGUUUGAUGUUCUAACGUUGACCCGUAAUCCGGGUUGCGGACAGUGUCUGGUGGGUAGUUUGACUGGGGCGGUCUCCUCCUAAAGAGUAACGGAGGAGCACGAAGGUUGGCUAAUCCUGGUCGGACAUCAGGAGGUUAGUGCAAUGGCAUAAGCCAGCUUGACUGCGAGCGUGACGGCGCGAGCAGGUGCGAAAGCAGGUCAUAGUGAUCCGGUGGUUCUGAAUGGAAGGGCCAUCGCUCAACGGAUAAAAGGUACUCCGGGGAUAACAGGCUGAUACCGCCCAAGAGUUCAUAUCGACGGCGGUGUUUGGCACCUCGAUGUCGGCUCAUCACAUCCUGGGGCUGAAGUAGGUCCCAAGGGUAUGGCUGUUCGCCAUUUAAAGUGGUACGCGAGCUGGGUUUAGAACGUCGUGAGACAGUUCGGUCCCUAUCUGCCGUGGGCGCUGGAGAACUGAGGGGGGCUGCUCCUAGUACGAGAGGACCGGAGUGGACGCAUCACUGGUGUUCGGGUUGUCAUGCCAAUGGCACUGCCCGGUAGCUAAAUGCGGAAGAGAUAAGUGCUGAAAGCAUCUAAGCACGAAACUUGCCCCGAGAUGAGUUCUCCCUGACCCUUUAAGGGUCCUGAAGGAACGUUGAAGACGACGACGUUGAUAGGCCGGGUGUGUAAGCGCAGCGAUGCGUUGAGCUAACCGGUACUAAUGAACCGUGAGGCUUAACCU